Molecule: long non-coding RNA, 1598 nt
Organism: Trifolium pratense (red clover)
Lineage: Eukaryota; Viridiplantae; Streptophyta; Magnoliopsida; Fabales; Fabaceae
Exons: 2
Source: RefSeq, a predicted model, not a curated record
ACCUGGAUCAUCUUAUGUACUAGUACUUAUUUUAAAUUUGAGAUUCUAGUGUUUUUAUUAGACUUAAAUAAUAUUUUGAUUUUGUAGGUGGGUGAUUUGAAAUAGAGAUUUAAUUAGCUUUAAAAGCCAUAGUGUGUUCUCCCAUGCUAUGCUACUAUGCUCUGUAUUGGUAUUACAAUUGCUCUGAAAGAGUCUUAAACACCGACUCAACACUCUUUGUAUAAAGCAAUGAAUGAAAAGAAAGGCCCUCACACUGCACUUUGUAAUUGCAAUAUUUACUCCAAAUUUCCUCAUUCUGCAUACUUCUUGGGAUUUUUCCAAACAAUUAAUACAUUUCCUGGCCACAAUUUACACUCUUUCUUCUACCCAACAAUUCAAUUCAAUUCAUUUUCUCUCUCUAAUUCAUUCACCCUAUACCCUCUUCCCUCCACCUCUCUCCCUCAAUUUAAUUAAGCUUUAAAUCACCCCCUUCAAUUUUUCUUAUAUAAAAUGGCCUACAUGUUCCAACCACUUCACACAGUUCACUUUCUUGCUGCCGGAGCUUAUUAUAAUAAUCACCUUUAGCAACACUUUCCUCUUCCUCCUUCAUCAACCCUCUUUUUUAAGGUAACAUACUUUUGCAGAAAGAAAAGGAGCAAAAAACAAUGAGUCGAAGAAAUGGAAGUGGUCCAAAGCUUGACUUGAAACUGAACCUAUCACCACCAAGGGCUGACCACAGAAGAGUUGAAUCAUCACCAACAAGAUCAGCAACAGUUUCACCAACAUCACCACCAAGCUCAUGUGUCUCAACUGAGCUAAACCAAGAAGAUGGAAACAACCAGCAGAGACACUCUAACAGCCCUGAAGCUACUUCCAUGGUUUUAGUUGGUUGCCCUCGUUGUCUUAUGUAUGUCAUGCUUUCUGAAGAUGAUCCAAAGUGUCCCAAAUGCAAAAGCACUGUUUUGCUUGAUUUUCUCCAUGAAAAUAACAACAAAAGGAGGAAUUAAGUGCAUGUUUGGAAUUACGGUGAGUUAGUUCGAUGAUAUCAAUCACAGUAGUACCUGUCGUUAAUUUUGUUGAAACUCGAAAGUAUAGGUUUUGACAAAAUUACGGUAGCAUAUAAGUGAUUAUAAUAAACUCGCCGUCUAGACAUGCACUUAUAAGUAUAGACUAUCCUGUUGCCAGUUCUGCAUUCUCUACUACUUGUAGGACAUUUUAGCUUUUAACCUAGGAAUCUCCAUUUCAAUAUGUUUCUUUUCUAUUAUUAGUUUUAAUUCUUGUCUAUGUUUUUAUUUAUUUUAGCCAUUUCUAUGAAUAGUGCUACUUGCACUCCACUUUUUCCAUUUCUUACAUCUACUUGUGAGGUAGAAAAAUCACAAAAUCUUGUUAAAGCAAGAAAAGUAGAUAGAUAUAAGAGUGGAGCGUAAAUAGCACUAUUCAAGUUAUUCUAUAUAGAAUCUAGAAGUAAAACUAGUCAGAAAUAUGGGAAUGUUAGGGGAAGUCUAUGUAAAAUCUAUGUGGGAUUGGGUUCAACUUUUCUGCUUUUUAGCAGCAAAGAUGUAAUAGGACUUACCCUUUCAGGUGCCAUCUUAGUAUGUUUAUUGAAAUUUUAGAUCAAA